AUCUGGGCGGCGGAAUUCAGGACGGUCGGGCGGGUCUCGCGCUCGUCGGGCCGUUUGAUAUUUCCGUCGCCGUGUCAGACGUCGCGACCUGUUCGUCGUCGGUCCUUGCUCGGAGGAAGCGCGAUCGAGUUCGUUGCGGGCGCGCUUCGGUGCGUUCCGCGGCGAAGACGCGACUCUCUGGCUGACGACGGACAGUAAGCAACGGUGUCCGGCGUCGUGUCUCGCACUCGACGUCGGUGCCGGUCAGCGACGAUUUCUUCGGGCCUCUUUCCGACCCGUCUUGAAACACGGACCAAGGAGUCUAACAUGCGCGCGAGUCGCGGGGUUUCGAGCGUGCCACGGUGCGCUCGUUACUUCCGAAACCCGUACGUUGAAGGCGUAAUGAAAGUGAAUAGGGAAGAUGGCGUUCCGAGUCCACGUACCGUGAUCGAGUAUCGCGGCCGGACGUCCGCACUCCCGGGGCGUCUCAAUGGCUCGCCACGAAUGCGGACGGUCGUCUCUCGGGGCGGCCGUCGGUCUGUGGCGGUCCGA
Molecule: ribosomal RNA, 531 nt
Filed under: Aulacaspis rosae
Lineage: Eukaryota; Metazoa; Arthropoda; Insecta; Hemiptera; Diaspididae
Description: eukaryotic LSU rRNA
Source: RNAcentral